RNAcentral lists this long non-coding RNA (249 nucleotides) under Nicotiana benthamiana. RNAcentral describes it as "long non-coding RNA (NBEN_LNC041801)". Lineage: Eukaryota; Viridiplantae; Streptophyta; Magnoliopsida; Solanales; Solanaceae. The record is from RNAcentral.
GAAUCAGGGUUGUAGGCUAGGGGCUCAUAGAGUUCUUCGUACUCCUCACCCGGGGUUGGGUGUGGGAUAGCAGGGUCACCCAUAGAUGAUUAGUGUUUUAAUAUGUCCCCUUAUGAUUGUUAGUAUGGUAGUUAUGGUUUGUUAUUAUUGCGUGCGACUGUAUUUAUGUUUCUUAUGUUUACAUAAUUAUUUACGUUAUUUCUGCGGGAUUUACUAAUGCUCUAUUGUUUUGUUUUGUCUUGUUUUUGU